CAGCAUGUGUACUGCCGUUGUAAGCAUACCUCUAAAAGAAAAGUAUGCCGCUAUGACUAAAUAAACUCAUAUACAUCAGGUCAAAGUGCAGCCAAUAAGAAGGUGAUGAUGGGUUACAACCCCAAAAUAGACUAUCAACUAAGAAAUAAAAAAUCUUACGAAAGUGGACUUGGCCGUAAUCAAUUUACAAGUUAAAAAAAUGAAUAAGAACCUAAGACAUGCACACAUCGCCCGUCACUCUAUCCUAAAGGUUAGAUAAGUCGUAACAAAGUAGGUGUAAUGGAAAUUGCACCUGUCGAAGUAUAGCAUAUAUAAUGCUUUUUACUUACACUAAAAACAAAGUUAAAUUACUUACUUCGCCCACACAAAACAAUCCUUUAAAUAAAUAUAUAAUACAAACAACUAAAUAUAUAAAAUACUAGUAAAGUACAGAAAUGGAAGCAAUAAUAAAUAAUAGUAAUUUUUAACAACUAUACCUCGUGCAUUAUGGUUUUACAAGAAAUAAAUUAAACACCUAAAUCCCGAAUUCUAAAUGAGAUGUCAAACUGCUGUUAAGAACCCAUUAGUAACUGUGGAAAAAGCUUUAAAAGACAGUUUAACAGAGGCUACAUACCAUCCGCAUAAGAAUAUAGCUGGUUUUCAACAAACAUUAUACAUUAAAACAUAUAAUAAAUAUUAUAAUGUUAUAUUAUUGAGGACAAGCCCAAUAACCUAAACAAUAAGACAACAAAUCUAUUUCACUUCAUAGGCUUAAUAUCAGCCAACUAAAAUACUUUACCGUAACAGAAAUUGACAUAAUAUAUAAAUCUACAUGUAAAGAAAAGUUGAAAUGGUAGAUAAACUUCCUUAUCCACCUCUACUAUGUAAAAAUAAGUAUUAAUAACCGUAAAUAUUAAACAACUAGAACUAACAACAGAUUAUACCUAAUAACUAAUUAAGGAACUCGGCAAACCACUAUUUCGACUGUUUAAC
RNAcentral lists this ribosomal RNA (972 nucleotides) under Amynthas sp. ZJ201521-01. RNAcentral's name for it is "partial small subunit ribosomal RNA". The stretch from base 1 to 306 matches the Rfam family "Archaeal small subunit ribosomal RNA", at positions 983 to 1478 of the family's 1478-position model. The record is from RNAcentral. RNAcentral also lists the same sequence under 1 other name. Lineage: Eukaryota; Metazoa; Annelida; Clitellata; Crassiclitellata; Megascolecidae.